Molecule: long non-coding RNA, 141 nt
Organism: Alosa sapidissima (American shad)
Lineage: Eukaryota; Metazoa; Chordata; Actinopteri; Clupeiformes; Clupeidae
Exons: 2
Source: RefSeq, a predicted model, not a curated record
GGACAGCCUGCUCCCAGUCAUCUAAUGAUAAAGUCAGGUUGAACAAAAGCAGAUUAGAAAUUGUGUAGUGUUUUUGUAAAUGUAUGGAUGUACUGGUACAUUACCUAAUAGGUACAAGUCUCGUAAAUCCAUAUUUAGCAG